UACAGAGACCUCAAACGUUAUCCGGAUUCAUUGGGCGUAAAGCGUCCGCAGGUGGUUUUAUAAGUUGGUGGUUAAAUCCUGGGGCUUAACUUCAGGACUGCUGUCAAAACUGUAAGACUUGAGGGUGGGAGAGGUAAUCGGAACUGCCGGUGUAGUCGUAAUAAGCGCUGAUAUCGGCAGGAACACCAAAGGCGAAGGCAGAUUACUGGAACACACCUGACACUCAUGGACGAAAGCGUGGGGAGCGAAU
This 250-nucleotide ribosomal RNA is filed under the name uncultured bacterium. Its description in RNAcentral is "partial 16S ribosomal RNA". It matches the Rfam family "Bacterial small subunit ribosomal RNA", at positions 524 to 773 of the family's 1533-position model. The record is from RNAcentral.